ACAACUUUCAGCAACGGAUCUCUUGGCUCUCGCAUCGAUGAAGAACGCAGCGAAAUGCGAUAAGUAAUGUGAAUUGCAGAAUUCAGUGAAUCAUCGAAUCUUUGAACGCACCUUGCGCUCCUUGGUAUUCCGAGGGGCACGCCUGUUUGAGUGUCGUGAA
RNAcentral lists this ribosomal RNA (160 nucleotides) under Cerioporus varius. Its description in RNAcentral is "5.8S ribosomal RNA". It matches the Rfam family "5.8S ribosomal RNA". From Rfam's summary of the family: 5.8S ribosomal RNA (5.8S rRNA) is a component of the large subunit of the eukaryotic ribosome. It is transcribed by RNA polymerase I as part of the 45S precursor that also contains 18S and 28S rRNA. Functionally, it is thought that 5.8S rRNA may be involved in ribosome translocation. The record is from RNAcentral. Lineage: Eukaryota; Fungi; Basidiomycota; Agaricomycetes; Polyporales; Polyporaceae.